Polypterus senegalus (gray bichir) is the source of this 389-nucleotide long non-coding RNA. RefSeq lists it as uncharacterized. Lineage: Eukaryota; Metazoa; Chordata; Cladistia; Polypteriformes; Polypteridae. The transcript has 3 exons. The record is from RefSeq and is a predicted model, not a curated record.
AACAGCUUUACACUGUUUUUCAGUGUAACCGCAGUAAAGCAAAGAAAAAAAUGCAGCUUGAGCCCUUGACCUUCAAGCUGAAUCCAUUUAAAGUGAGCAAGAACAGGCACUUCUGGGUCAUUAAAACAUGCAUGAAACCAGAAUAUUGACAGCUCUCCACCACCAAUGUCACAUUUGGUGUCCGCCCAUCUGGACCUGCCUCUUCCUGCCCGGGCACCACAUGACAGGAAGAACCACCAUCUUGGGCAAUCACAAUGGGACUCCAGUAUGUGAAGAACUGAUUUUUGCUCACUUUAUUUGAAUCAAAUAAAUUUGUAAUUAUGCAGAGUUUGUCCAAGUGUUCCCCAAUACUCUGUCUUUGUUCUCUUAUUAAACAAUAUACAGGCAGU